GUAAAAGUUUGAAACUGGUUUCCAGGAUUAUUCACUCCAUCUCCUCCCUAGGGAGUGAUGUGAGACUUUACCAGUAUAUUCUUCUCUAGAUCCUGCUGGUCACUUUUCAUGAAGAAAAGUGACCAUUCAUGAAGAAAAGUGAUUUGCUGUCUCCUCCAUAGCUUUCUCUGGUCUUCACAAUCUUUCACAAGACAACUGAGAGCAGUCUUGUGGUGACAUAGGCCAGCUUCUUCAGAACAUGUGGCUACAUCUUACCUGGAUUUGUGGACAAGUAUAGGUCCAGCUUGUUCUAGUGCUCCAUAACUGAUCCUCCUUCACCAAGGGAGCAACAAUCUCCUCUUGGGGUUGUAGGACUGUAAUCUUAGGUGCCUGGCGUUCCUGAAGACAAGUCUCACCAGUAAACGCUGAGGUGGAGGAAGUGAUUAGUACCCCUGUCUUUUCUCUAUCCUUUGUCAUCAGCUACCCUACUCCACACACCAUCUGGUCCAUAUUUUCCUCAGUCUUCUUUUGCUGCUGGUGUCUGUUUAUAAAACUUUCUUGCUGCCCUCCAAAUUCAGAGCUUUAGACUGUUUUUUAAACUAUCUGAGGGAAAAUCAUUGCUGUCUUUUCUUAAAAACUUUUAAUUAAAGAAAAUAUGUAAUGGUGCUGUUUAAUCAGAGGUUACAUUACAGUUGAUUCAUAUCAAUUACAAUGCAGUUUUUAGUUGAGAUUUUAGCUUUAGAAUGGUUUGUGUUGGAAGGAACUUUAAAGAUUGUCUAGAGCCAACCCUAUUGCCAUGGGCAGGGACACCUUCCACUAGACCAGGUUGCUUAGAGCCCCAUCCAAUCUGGGCUUGAACACUUCAAGAGAUGGAGCAACUUCUGUGGGCAACUGGUUCUGGUGCCUCACAACCCUCACAGUUGAACAAUCCCAGUUCUCCCAGCCUUUCCUUCUAGGAGAUGUGUUCCAUCCUUCUAAUCAACUUGGUGUCCUGCCUCUGAACUUGAUCCAGCAGGUUGGUGACCUUCCUCUGCUCAGAAUAAUUCCAAAACAAUACAUUAAAGCUUUAAUCUCAGAGUUUAUGUGAGAUAGUCAGUUUAUGUCCAUGGGAGGACAACGGACACUCCACAUAAACAGAACUGAAAGUUGGCUGAUGAUGUUUCAGUCACCUAUUUCUCUUUAAAAAUACAUGUUUUCUGAACAGUCUCUAGUUAGUCAAGCACUUAAGUGCCCAGGUAUGCAUCAAGAAUGUGUAAGCUGGCCUACUGUUGCAGGGCCUCCUGGCAGAAGAACACAUAUACAUCUUUCUCAUAGUGGACUCUAGUAAGGAGAUGUGGCAAAUUUCUAGCUUUGGAGCAUUGAGUCAGAUUAUUUUCUAUUCUAACAUGAUUAUUUUGCAUAUGUUGAAUUUUUUUUGGCUUGUUAAUGCAUGUCUUGAUGAUUCAAGGGAGUUUCCACUAAAAUUGGUUCUUGUUCAAUGUUCCUUUUUAUAGAUGCUCAGUUGUAACUGUAAACUAUCUUAGUGUAUGGUCUCGUUGACAGGUAUCCAGAGGCUGUGAUCUUUAAGUCUUGCUUUUUUUUAACUGAGAGAUCACACAGAAAAAGAUUGUGAGCAUUGGAUCAUGUUUAAAUGUGUAACUUGUAUUAAUAUUCUGCUUUUAUUUUCUAAGCCCAGAAAGAAUCUUGACCAAUAAUAUGUUAAUAUUUCAUUUACUGGUUUUAAGUUACUAUUCCUCUUUUCUAAGCUAUUACUGUAAAACUGAGGUUAUUAUUAAUGGAAUGUAUGUAGCAGUAUUUGUUGUGUUCUGUUGCUGAGGGAGUAAAAUAGAAGCAGGAAACAGUUAUCACUACAAACUUAAAAAGCAGGCUUGAGCCCAACUCAGUUAAGAAUGGCACACUAUCCUCAAAAACAGUCUCUUUUUACAAAUAGAGCUAGUAAAUAUAUUUACACGUAUAAUAUUUUGCAAGUUAAUAAGACUUAGUAUAGUAAUGAGUGGUGAGAAGUCACAAAAAGCAGCUGUUGGAGAGACAAGGAGUGAUUUCUCCUAUGUCCUGGUAUCUCCAGCUCAUGUUUUUUGCCUCUGUAACCUUAUUCUAUGAAAAAAGAAUGUUAGACAUCUGGUAGGGUUGUGUUGAUCAUAAAAUUCCUCAAUAAAUCCUUUAUUUCUAGUAAAAUUUUUUUUUUAUAAACAAUAAUUUCUCAAGACAUUUUAAAACAAUCUGUAAUUAAGAGCCAAUGCCCAUGGAAUAAAAUGUUAUCAUCGGUUAA
This is a long non-coding RNA of Pseudopipra pipra, 2248 nucleotides long. RefSeq lists it as uncharacterized. The record is from RefSeq and is a predicted model, not a curated record. The transcript is spliced from 2 exons. NCBI's taxonomy places the organism in Eukaryota, Metazoa, Chordata, Aves, Passeriformes, Pipridae.